Polypterus senegalus (gray bichir) is the source of this 338-nucleotide long non-coding RNA. RefSeq lists it as uncharacterized. Lineage: Eukaryota; Metazoa; Chordata; Cladistia; Polypteriformes; Polypteridae. The record is from RefSeq and is a predicted model, not a curated record. The transcript is spliced from 3 exons.
UGACUCCAAAAUCUAUACAAUAAUUCAAUCUAAAGAAAAAUAAAAAACGUUGUUUCACUGAAGAAAUUGUGCUUCAAGGCAUUUGAAUCUCAGGAAUAACAGAAAGCUAAGCUUAUCAAGAAUAAAAUUCCUCGGAUAAUUCACCUGGAAAAUGUCAUCCAAGGAUUGUGUUUAUGCUUAUGGCUCUUAGACUCCAGUGAUGUAGAAGGGUUGGGGAGAACACAGCUGGACCUGUCUGCAACCUCAAACUCAAGUAAUGCCUGAGAAGUUGGGAGGUUUGGUGAUUCAAGACUUUAUUGUGCCGUUCAAUGCUGAAACAUCUGCAUGAUUGCUUGGGC